GAAAGCUGAUUUUCGGUCAUGUAAAGUAUUCUUUCAUUGUGACUGUUGGCUGCUAGACGUAGCAGUACGAUUAGUGGUUCGGCGGUUAUCCCUUUCAGGCGGCUGUACAACAUUUUUGAGAAAUUAAUGCUCAAAAUUGUUUGAAUCUGUUCGUUGGACCAUGACUUUCUAUAUUUCAAUAUGCAUUUUGUAGACGAAGCACUGCUUAAAUUUCUGGGGGUAUGGUGCUACCAUGAAUAUUCAAGACUGGUUGAAAAAAGAACAAACUUCUGCUAUCCCGACUCCCGACAUUCUUCAGAACUUCAAUAUCUAUUCUUUCCUUUUCCUCCACCCCGUCGGGGGCGGUGCCCCUGAUCGGGUGGAGGCGCUCCUAAGGGCUUGCAUGGUAGGCGUGUUGGCCUACUGUGCGAGUCCUUGGAGUUUUUAGUUUUUUUCUGUUGCAGAUGACAGUGAGUUUUAAAUUUACUAUUACUAGUAAUUUUUUGAACUGAUAAUCUUAGUAAUUUCGGUUGCUUGGCGUCGCACUAAAUGUUUUGUACAUAUGCAAUGGAUUGUUUAAAAUUUAAUCUAGGAGUUCCUGUCUCAACAGUUAACUUGCAUUAGUAAGCCAUAUAUUAAGCAUGGUUUUAAGGUUAUUGAAUUAAUCAGCUUUAUCCACUCUGGUUUUUUUUUUUUCAUCAGUUUGGUCAGUUUUUCAUAUUUAACUAAAUUUUCAGUUUAGGUCAGUUUGAUCGUUAUAGAAAAAAUACAGUAUGAUUACUUCGGGAUUAGUGUUUCUGGCAUUUCAAGGUUCAUAUUUCAUUUUUAGUUUUGGAUCAUAAUCUAUUAAAAUCUUGAAAUCCAUGGGUAUAACCUUUUAGAUAUUUGGUAGAUGUUAGUAUUUUGAAGGUUUUUUAUGCAUUUUGUAAUUAAAGAUUUUGAAAAAAAAGGACUUGAUGAGCAAAAGUGUUUAAAAGUUAACUUUCAUUUUUUUUCUUUGUAUGAAGGAAGGUUUACUUUUGAUUUAGUUUUAUACAAAGUUUUUCCUGUUGCUUUUCAUGAAUGGCAGUUGACCUUGCUCUGAGGGGUUUAGAAUGGCGGAAUCAAGGAUUUGGAGUAAUUGUGUGAUUAGUUCGCGGAAUAUUCCUUUCUACAUCUGUUACAAAAGCGAGACUUUGUUAAUUUUAGUUUUGAAGUGUGAUAAAACUGGUUUUGAGAAUAAAUCAUUCUGUAACCAAAGAUUCGUGAUUAAGAUUCUGUGUGCACCAUCCUGUAAUUACCAAUGUUUGUAACCACAUAAAAUUGACCCUGAUUGUCAUAAAAAGGGUACACAAGUUAAAUGCUUUUUUUUCUUUCUUUCUUUCUUUAAAGAUUCAAGGAUAUAAAAUUUCUAUUUGUCUUAGUAGUUCUUAAUUGGGUCAGUACUGUAUAUAAAAUAAUUA
Macrobrachium nipponense is the source of this 1421-nucleotide long non-coding RNA. RefSeq lists it as uncharacterized. The transcript has 3 exons. NCBI's taxonomy places the organism in Eukaryota, Metazoa, Arthropoda, Malacostraca, Decapoda, Palaemonidae. The record is from RefSeq and is a predicted model, not a curated record.